This 497-nucleotide ribosomal RNA is filed under the name uncultured bacterium. RNAcentral's name for it is "partial 16S ribosomal RNA". It matches the Rfam family "Bacterial small subunit ribosomal RNA", at positions 28 to 507 of the family's 1533-position model. The record is from RNAcentral.
GAUGAACGCUGGUGGCGUGCCUAAUACAUGCAAGUCGAGCGAACGGACGAGAAGCUUGCUUUUCUGAUGUUAGCGGCGGACGGGUGAGUAACACGUGGAUAACCUACCUAUAAGACUGGGAUAACUUCGGGAAACCGGAGCUAAUACCGGAUAAUAUUUUGAACCGCAUGGUUCAAAAGUGAAAGACGGUCUUGCUGUCACUUAUAGAUGGAUCCGCGCUGCAUUAGCUAGUUGGUAAGGUAACGGCUUACCAAGGCAACGAUGCAUAGCCGACCUGAGAGGGUGAUCGGCCACACUGGAACUGAGACACGGUCCAGACUCCUACGGGAGGCAGCAGUAGGGGAUCUUCCGCAAUGGGCGAAAGCCUGACGGAGCAACGCCGCGUGAGUGAUGAAGGUCUUCGGAUCGUAAAACUCUGUUAUUAGGGAAGAACAUAUGUGUAAGUAACUGUGCACAUCUUGACGGUACCUAAUCAGAAAGCCACGGCUAACUACGUG